This 355-nucleotide long non-coding RNA is filed under the name Carica papaya (papaya). RNAcentral's name for it is "long non-coding RNA (CPAP_LNC003839)". The record is from RNAcentral. Lineage: Eukaryota; Viridiplantae; Streptophyta; Magnoliopsida; Brassicales; Caricaceae.
UUUUCUUCCUUUUUCACUAUUCUUUCCCCCUCAAUUAGUCGUUGUGAUGUGUAUUUUUAUGAUUUAUCUAGUAUAACAUAAAAAUCAAGACCUAAGCUUCAGUCAUUAUUGGUGGCCGCGAGGAGACAACAUUUUUAAUUUUUGCUCGAUGUAAGGACACCCCAACCAUUCCUUGUAAUUGCUUAUUGAAGUUUAAAGUCCAAAGUAUCUAAUCUAUGGCUUGUUUGAACAAUAAAAAAAAUAAUGCUCUGGUAUUGAUGGAGGAAUUGAAUUCGUUUAUGUGAUUUUCCCUUAUGUAUAUUUUGUUUGUUUUUUGUGUGUUUUCAGUCAUGAUUAUCAAUCCAAGUUAUGUACA